CCGGUUUUUCAAGCACAAAGUGCCCAGACAAGCCACAACAGCCCACAGCACGUUCUCUUCACAGCCUCCCACACCUAUGCCUCGCUCCUUUCUCACCCCUGACUAGUUCCAGGAUCCCUGGUCCACAUUUGAAGGGUGCAGACCCAGGGUAGAAUGUUGUAGAAGAGGAAGAAGUAGUGGGAGCAGGAGAACACAGCAUCUGCACUUGUCCAGCCUUCGGAAGGAGCUGCCAGCCUGAAUGGGAGCGGAGAGCGAACUGCAUGCUCACCGAGAUGACAUGGGGAGUUUGAGAGAAGACAUUCAAAUGAGAAUGUCCCAUAUGCGUUUAGUGCUGUGGUUCAAGACUUGGACAAGACGUCAGGACUACCACGAUUGGAGACUCAUCAGUAGAGAUUUGACAUUCACAGGAUGGAUAACAGCCCCCCCCCCCCCCCCCCCCCCCCCACAAAUCAAAGGAGUCCUGGCUAAGUGAGCUGAAGAAAAGGUUAUCUAUCAAGAAGAAAGCAUGAUUCCUCAGCCUUGGCAGCACAUUAGCAUCAUCUGGAGAACUUUAAAAACUGAUUUUUUUUUCCUUCAUUUGAUUUCUUUUCUAAUUGAUUUAACUUUGUAAGGGUGGAAUUAAAAAAAAAAAAAAACAGUAAUGCUUUCUUUUCCAUUUAAAGCUAUGCUCAACAAAGUCAUUACUAGACCUGCGGAAAAUUACCUCUCUCAUUUUAUUGAAUUUUCCUGGAGUGUUUGAACCUUAAGACAGCUUCCUUCCCUUGCAACUUCCUUAUAAUUUUCAUUUUGAAUUUUUUAUGGAGUCACAGUGAAAUGCUUCUUCAGUAUUUCUAUACUGAAUCAACACUGAUUCCCUAUUCAAAUGAUGUUCCCAUUGAGAAAGACACACUAAUUUCAAGAUCUAUACAGCUAAACAAAGUCUCAAGUUCAAGUUUCCCACCACUUUCAACAGACUGUGGAAAAUAAAAAUACUAAUUAAAAUACA
Molecule: long non-coding RNA, 985 nt
Filed under: Sus scrofa (pig)
Lineage: Eukaryota; Metazoa; Chordata; Mammalia; Artiodactyla; Suidae
Description: lncRNA (ENSSSCG00015074901.1)
Source: RNAcentral